RNAcentral lists this ribosomal RNA (895 nucleotides) under uncultured bacterium. RNAcentral describes it as "bacterial SSU rRNA". It matches the Rfam family "Bacterial small subunit ribosomal RNA", at positions 13 to 900 of the family's 1533-position model. The record is from RNAcentral.
UUGAUCCUGGCUCAGGAUGAACGUUAGCAACAGGCUUAACACAUGCAAGUCGAGGGGCAGCGGGAUUGAAGCUUGCUUCAAUUGCCGGCGACCGGCGCACGGGUGAGUAACGCGUAUCCAACCUUCCGUACACUCAGGGAUAGCCUUUCGAAAGAAAGAUUAAUACCUGAUGGUAUGAUGAGAUUGCAUGAUAGCAUCAUUAAAGAUUUAUCGGUGUACGAUGGGGAUGCGUUCCAUUAGGUAGUAGGCGGGGUAACGGCCCACCUAGCCGACGAUGGAUAGGGGUUCUGAGAGGAAGGUCCCCCACAUUGGAACUGAGACACGGUCCAAACUCCUACGGGAGGCAGCAGUGAGGAAUAUUGGUCAAUGGACGAGAGUCUGAACCAGCCAAGUAGCGUGAAGGAUGAAGGCUCUAUGGGUCGUAAACUUCUUUUAUAUGGGAAUAAAGUUUUCCACGUGUGGAAUUUUGUAUGUACCAUAUGAAUAAGGAUCGGCUAACUCCGUGCCAGCAGCCGCGGUAAUACGGAGGAUGCGAGCGUUAUCCGGAUUUAUUGGGCGUAAAGGGCGCGCAGACGGGUCGUUAAGUCAGCUGUGAAAGUUUGGGGCUCAACCUUAAAAUUGCAGUUGAUACUGGCGUCCUUGAGUGCGGUUGAGGUGUGCGGAAUUCGUGGUGUAGCGGUGAAAUGCUUAGAUAUCACGAAGAACUCCGAUUGCGAAGGCAGCACACUAAUCCGUAACUGACGUUCAUGCUCGAAAGUGUGGGUAUCAAACAGGAUUAGAUACCCUGGUAGUCCACACGGUAAACGAUGGAUACUCGCUGUUGGCGAUAUACUGUCAGCGGCUUAGCGAAAGCGUUAAGUAUCCCACCUGGGGAGUACGCCGGCAACGGUGAAAC